AAUAUUUCUAAUGUAAGCGCGCUGCAACACUUAAUUUUUUUCUUUUCACAAACCUGCGCCCUUCUCCUUCAUUAAGAGAUUAGAGUUCACCUUCUUCUUCGCCGCUUUCACCCUUCUUCUUCGCCUUCACUCACCACCACCCACUGUCUCCAUUCUCCUUCGUCUUCACCUUCGCUCACGACUCACCGUCUCCGUUUCUCAUCUUCACCUUUGCUCACCACUCGCCGUGCUCACCAUUAUCAUCUCGUGCGAUCAGCAUCGUCGCUUACCAUCGUCGUCUGUGUGCUCACCGUCGCUGCUCACCAUCGUCGUCUGUGCACUCACCAGAUAAUCGUUGUCUGUGAAAUGGAUGAAGAACUAACUUCAAAAAUGGUGGCUUGGUGCGGCAAGGAUCCAAAGAACUCAACGUACUUAUUCUUGUUGUUGUUGCUCUCUAUGUACUUCUUGAGUGGCUACCAACUAUGAUGGAACAAGUCACACAUUACUAACAUCUGAUUCGCAGCAAAUUAAUUAGAUGUCUUUCUCAUUGUAUGCACUAAGGUUAGUUACUAACAUCCUUUUUUUUCUGAAAUAAUGUUGCUGAUUAUGGAAAUUGGUGCUGAUGUUCUGAUUUUUGAUGAUUAGUACUUUUGUUAAGUUGAAAACUUUAUUGUUGAUACUUUUUUUUGUGGUAGAACAUUAUGUGUUUGUCAUUUAGGUGCGUUUUGAUAUAUUUUAGUUAUAAAUUUUGAUGUUUGAAGUUGUUUAUGAAUUUUUAUUGAUAAUUUAUAUAUAUUUUAUUAUGUGAAAUUUUGAAUUUUAUUAGGUUAGAAAUUAUUGAAUUUAAAUAUUUGAAAUUAUAUAUUGUAUUUUUAAUAAUUUUAUUUAAUAUUUAAUUAAACCGGUUGAACUUCAGUUGAAUCCCGAACGAACCAUCAAACCAGUGAACCAGUCACUUUACCAGUUUAUUAACCGAUUCGGUUCUCGCAACCUUGAUAAUAUGAAGUUGGUUCCUUCAUGCAAAUGUGUUUAGUUCUCUUUUUGUUAUUUUUUAAAUAUCUCUUUAAUUUCAAGUGUUGAAAGUUCUCUGAGCAUCUCCUUUAGAUUAUCUGCCAACCCAAAUUCAAAGUUAGCUACUCCUCUAUCACUUACUGGAACUUCAAUAUCAUUAGUUUCGGUUGUUUAGGUAUCCCGACACUUCUUCCUCAUUUUUUCCCUCAUUGAUACAUAUAUGCAUGUGUUUUGUAUUGUUUGCUAUCUUCAUUUUGUAUUAUUUAAAAAUAUUUUUUUGGUGGCUAAUAUUAUUUUUUGGUGGCUAAUAUAUAUAUACCCUUACUAUUUUUGGUUUUUCAUGGCAUUUUUUGUUAUUGGUUUUUGCUUCUUGAUUUGUUUUGUUCUUGCAUUUCUCUGUUCUUGCUAUGGUUUGUUCUUCACUGCUAUUUAUUUGUUGUUCGUGGCUUUUUGCUAUUGUUUGUUGUUCUUCAAUACUGCUACUUUUUUUGUUGAUUUUUAAUUUGUUGUUAUUCACUAUUGGUUGCUGCAACUGUUAUUUUUAUUUUAAAUUUGUUAAUUGUUAUUGAUUUUAAUUUUAAUUUAUUGGUUCUAUUAUUUUUGUUCUUGAUUUAAUUUUUUAUCUACAUUAUUGUUCUGAUGGCCACUAUUUUUGCAUUUAAUUUGUUGUUGAUUAAGUAAUAUAUCGAUGUUCUUUUUUUGGUUUUUGAUUACAUUAUAAGUGACAACAUUGGUGAAACUGAAGGUGAAA
Molecule: non-coding RNA, 1741 nt
Organism: Arachis ipaensis
Lineage: Eukaryota; Viridiplantae; Streptophyta; Magnoliopsida; Fabales; Fabaceae
Source: RefSeq, a predicted model, not a curated record